Molecule: ribosomal RNA, 440 nt
Filed under: uncultured bacterium
Lineage: Bacteria
Description: partial 16S ribosomal RNA
Rfam family: Bacterial small subunit ribosomal RNA
Source: RNAcentral
CUACGGGCGGCUCCAGUGAGGAAUAUUGCACAAUGAGGGGAACCCUGAUGCAGCAACGCCGCGUGGAGGAUGACGCAUUUCGGUGUGUAAACUCCUUUUAUAUGUCAAGAAAAUGACGGUAGCAUAUGAAUAAGCACCGGCUAACUCCGUGCCAGCAGCCGCGGUAAUACGGAGGGUGCAAGCGUUACUCGGAAGUCACUGGGCGUAAAGGACGCGUAGGCGGGUUGGAAAGUCAGGUGUGAAAUCCUACAGCUUAACUGUAGAACUGCACUUGAAACUUCUAAUCUAGAGUAUGGGAGGGGAAGAUGGAAUUAGUGGUGUAGGGGUAAAAUCCGUAGAUAUCACUAGGAAUACCUAAAGCGAAGGCGAUCUCCUGGAACAUUACUGACGCUAAGGCGUGAAAGCGUGGGGAGCAAACAGGAUUAGAUACCCCAGUAGUC